Molecule: ribosomal RNA, 564 nt
Filed under: Streptomyces sp. 434B01
Lineage: Bacteria; Bacillati; Actinomycetota; Actinomycetes; Kitasatosporales; Streptomycetaceae
Description: bacterial SSU rRNA
Rfam family: Bacterial small subunit ribosomal RNA
Source: RNAcentral
UAGUGGCGAACGGGUGAGUAACACGUGGGCAAUCUGCCCUGCACUCUGGGACAAGCCCUGGAAACGGGGUCUAAUACCGGAUACGAGUUUCACAGGCAUNUGUGAUUCUGGAAAGCUCCGGCGGUGCAGGAUGAGCCCGCGGCCUAUCAGCUUGUUGGUGAGGUAACGGCUCACCAAGGCGACGACGGGUAGCCGGCCUGAGAGGGCGACCGGCCACACUGGGACUGAGACACGGCCCAGACUCCUACGGGAGGCAGCAGUGGGGAAUAUUGCACAAUGGGCGAAAGCCUGAUGCAGCGACGCCGCGUGAGGGAUGACGGCCUUCGGGUUGUAAACCUCUUUCAGCAGGGAAGAAGCGAGAGUGACGGUACCUGCAGAAGAAGCGCCGGCUAACUACGUGCCAGCAGCCGCGGUAAUACGUAGGGCGCAAGCGUUGUCCGGAAUUAUUGGGCGUAAAGAGCUCGUAGGCGGCUUGUCGCGUCGGUUGUGAAAGCCCGGGGCUUAACCCCGGGUCUGCAGUCGAUACGGGCAGGCUAGAGUUCGGUAGGGGAGAUCGGAAUUCCU